This 368-nucleotide ribosomal RNA is filed under the name uncultured organism. RNAcentral describes it as "bacterial SSU rRNA". It matches the Rfam family "Bacterial small subunit ribosomal RNA", at positions 526 to 896 of the family's 1533-position model. The record is from RNAcentral.
CGUAGGUGGCAAGCGUUGUCCGGAUUUAUUGGGUUUAAAGGGUGCGUAGGCGGUCUAUUAAGUCAGUGCUGAAAUAUCCCGGCUUAACCGGGAGGGUGGCAUUGAUACUGAUGGACUUGAGUGCAGUCGAGGUAGGCGGAAUUGACGGUGUAGCGGUGAAAUGCUUAGAUAUCGUCAAGAACACCGAUAGUGUAGACAGCUUACUAGGCUGUAACUGACGCUGAGGCACGAAAGUGUGGGGAUCAAACAGGAUUAGAUACCCUGGUAGUCCACACUGUAAACGUUGAUGACUCGCUGUUUGCGAUAUACAGUAAGCGGCUUAGAGAAAUCGUUAAGUCAUCCACCUGGGGAGUACACCGGCAACGGUG